AGCAGCAUGGAGGUCCCCACGAAGAACAUGGCCGUCCUGAAGGCCGGCGACGGGAUGGAGUUGAAGUCGAAGACGCUGCCCUUGCAGGGCUGGAUGAAGACCACCAUGGUGAUGAUGGAGAAGCAGAUGGUGAACACGGCCCACAUGACGCCGAUGGCCCGGGAGUUUCUCACAUAGUUGGUGUGAACCAGAGGCUUCUGCUCCGGUUUCUCCUGAUUACCAGUCUGAAGUUUCAGCACGCUGGACAGCUCCUCCACCCUGUGCACGGUGAGGCAGCGCCGACGUCACACACUCACCUGUUCCCCUGGAGGCGGAACAGGUGAGUACCGCCUCCAGGGUGAUUACCUGUAGAUAAUCUACAGGUUUCAGAAAUGUCACAGCAGUGAAAAUAAAUAGCAGACUG
This is a long non-coding RNA of Gambusia affinis (western mosquitofish), 403 nucleotides long. RefSeq lists it as uncharacterized. The record is from RefSeq and is a predicted model, not a curated record. The transcript is spliced from 3 exons. Lineage: Eukaryota; Metazoa; Chordata; Actinopteri; Cyprinodontiformes; Poeciliidae.